UUAAGAUUUUCAAUUUGUUUUUUUUAUUUUUAUUGCUACCGCAUUUUUUAAAUGCAGGUCAUUUCUCUUUCUCACUAUCUUUUUUCUUGGUGAUUUUUUUUCAGAUCCGCAUGUUUAUCAUAUUUGUGCCUGUUUUGUUGUUGUUGUUGUUUCCACCAUAAUCCAUGACAUUGAACUUGGAUAUACAUUUCGCCCAUUCAUGAUCCAUUUUUGUCACUUUAAAUAUGUCAUCAUCAUUAUCAUCAUCAUCAUCAUCGUUUUUUAGUUAUUUUUAAUUUCCAAGAUGAAUUUGUAUUUUUUUUUCUUCAUCUGUGAUGAUUCGAAAUUCCUUAUGAAUGGUGUAUUCAUCAUCAUCGUCAUAUAUUCUAUUCUUAGUGUUGUGUUGUUCAUCAUUGAUAAUUCUGUUGUGUUUGAAUGACAUCAAAUAAAAAAAAACGUCAUCCACAUACACACCUAACAUACAGAUUUACUCAUACGGAUGUGCAAUAUAUCAUCAUCAUCAUCAUCAUUAUCAUUGAAUCAGUGAAAGAAAAGAAAAAUUCUAACCAUCGUCAUGAACAACAACAACAACAACAAAAGUUGAAGGGGGAAAGAAAAGUACAUUCGUUACCGACACAGAAUCGUUUGUUUUUUUUCAAUCAUUCAGUGAUGUGAAUUCAAUUUAAGGAAAAAAUUUUUUUAUUUUGAC
Non-coding RNA from Dermatophagoides farinae (American house dust mite), 688 nucleotides. The record is from RefSeq and is a predicted model, not a curated record. NCBI's taxonomy places the organism in Eukaryota, Metazoa, Arthropoda, Arachnida, Sarcoptiformes, Pyroglyphidae.